Molecule: long non-coding RNA, 1372 nt
Organism: Hevea brasiliensis (rubber tree)
Lineage: Eukaryota; Viridiplantae; Streptophyta; Magnoliopsida; Malpighiales; Euphorbiaceae
Exons: 2
Source: RefSeq, a predicted model, not a curated record
UGGUCGGGUCACCGCUGCAUGAAGCAAGUAUAAAAAAAAUUAAGAAUUACAAAAAAAGAGAAAAAUUAGGGCCCUAAUAAAUGUGAUGUUGGCAAUUUAUCAGCAUUCAGCAUGGAAACAUAUUUAUUUACAUAGGAACAAUAAAUCUAUAGAUUUUUAAUUCGUCGAGCUCUCUCGUAUAUGUUUGAUUUAUUUAAAAAUUUGCUGUUUCAGGAUCUGUCGCCAGAAAUAACCGAGUGGAUUUGAUUCGGCCUCUCCCUGGAAAAUUACCCACAAACACACAGCAAGCAGGGAAAGGAGUCGAGGAAGGUGACGAGGUAGUAGACACAGGCAGAUGUGCCCUCUGAGUAGGCAGUGCCUCUCCUUGGGCACGUUUACCCGUCAGCAGUUGCUCUCUCUUUAUGUCAAUGGUCUCGUAUCCCAGCCUCAAAAUGAAGCUUGCAUUGAUGGCUAGAGACACCACCAACAAGUUCCUCACGGUGAACACAUGCCAGAACCUAGCCAUUUCUCGCAGGAAAAGAUAGGCAAGCAGAGCUGGAAGAACAGAUUAUUUUCAAGAAAACAGUAAGCAAAACAGAGCUUAUGAGAACUCUGCAGUAGAUGUGAGGAAUGAAGAACCAGGAGGGAGGAGUUUAUAGAAAAACCCAGAAGAUAGGUACAAAAGCUUCGCUUGACAAAUGGAUGGUGAUGGAUGGCGGAGGCGAAGUGUGCUGUUACGACUGUGGUUUCUGUGCAAUUUGGUACUGUGACUCUAUAGAGAAAGGAGCUGAAAUUUUGUCAACAGACAAAUUUACAAUUCAGCAAAAGCGAUCUAGACAAGGGAAAAGAGCAGAGAAAUUUUGGAAGGUGUUGAAUGACACUUACGAGACUUUGGAAGAACUCUAAAAACCCAAUGAAACCGAUGGAAAUCAGUAAGAUUCCUGGGUUUAUAGAGCCUUUUAGCGCAUGAACCUGCUGGUCUUUACUAGAAAGCAACAAAAGUGUUCAAAGUUUGCAGAAAAUCAGCAAGGAAAGGUUCAAGUUACUGAAACUGAAUAAUCAGCAGUACGAAUCGGUAUCAAGUAUUAAAACAAAAACACUGGCAUUUCUUGAUUUUGGACCAAAGAACGAUCGAAGGGACCAAAGAGGACAAAAACCCAGAAAUGGUAUGAUGAGGCUGGGCGCUAAUAUGCGCUGGUAUGUUUAUUGUCCGCUCUCGAAACAGGGAAAUUUUCUCAAGAAUCAAGAAAUCCCGCCCUCUAUUUUCCUGGAAAGUCUCAGUUUUCCUAGGCUAGAUCUCGAGAAAAAUAAAGGGCACUAUUGUUUUUCUUUUAUCGUGUAGAUUCACUGUUCCUUCCAUUGUUUUUCUUUUCGUAUAAAUAAUGGAUUUUGA